Molecule: long non-coding RNA, 394 nt
Filed under: Prunus persica (peach)
Lineage: Eukaryota; Viridiplantae; Streptophyta; Magnoliopsida; Rosales; Rosaceae
Description: long non-coding RNA (PPER_LNC008525)
Source: RNAcentral
GAGUAUUGCAUAGUUCUAGAGAUUGCAUUUCACUCAAAACCCACCAAUUGAUUCCUCCCACCAUAUUAUGGUGUUCCCCAAGUUUUGUACUCAGUCCGAUAUCGAUUGGUGCAUGAAAUUGGACAAUUUAGGUUCGUACGAAGUUCGAUAUGAAAUGGAGUGGUUGGUGUAUUGCAUAGUUCUGGAGAUUGGAUUCCACUCAAAACCCACCAGAUGACUCCUCCCACCAUAUUAUGAUGUUCCCCAAGUUUUAGACUCAAUGUGAUAUCGAUUGGUCCAUGAAAUUUGACAAUUCAGGUUCGGACGAUGUUCGUUAUGAAAUGGAGUGGUUGGUGUAUUUCAUAGUUCUAGAGAUUGGAUUUCACUCAAAACCCAACAAAUGACUACUCCCACC